This 105-nucleotide microRNA precursor is filed under the name Marmota monax (woodchuck). The record is from RNAcentral. Lineage: Eukaryota; Metazoa; Chordata; Mammalia; Rodentia; Sciuridae.
ACAUGAAUUACACAGGGAUUUUGUAGAGUUGCAGGCUCUGUGUUGGUAGGUUUGGGGUGGGAUCUGAGAUCCUGAAUUGCUAAUAAGCUCCUAAGUAAUGCCGAU